Sapajus apella (tufted capuchin) is the source of this 2676-nucleotide RNA transcript. It is a transcript of the gene named elongation factor 1-gamma-like, with no coding region annotated. The record is from RefSeq and is a predicted model, not a curated record. The transcript is spliced from 2 exons. NCBI's taxonomy places the organism in Eukaryota, Metazoa, Chordata, Mammalia, Primates, Cebidae.
GGUGAUUCAUCUGCCUCAGCCCCCCAAAGUGCUGGGAUUUACAGGCAUGAGCCACCUCACCCAGCUGCCUCUCUUGUACUAGAGGCUUUCUUCAAAUGCCUGCUGACCUUUGGUUGUCCAUUCAUAAAUUGACUAGCCCAUUAAAAAGUUGACUGAAAGCUCUGUGUUUGUGGAUGUGGUUUGUUCGCUAAUGGACUUCAUAGCAGGAUGAUUGGUUGGGGACCUGAUCAUUUUGUUAGGAAACCUGCAGAUGUGAUUAUCUUGCCUUUCCACUGAGUCCAGAUUGGCAGGUGCACUACGAGUCAUACACAUGGUGGAAACUGGAUCCUGGCAACGAGGAGACACAGACGCUGGUUCGAGAGUACUUUUCCUGGGAGGGGGCCUUCCAACAUGUGGGCAAAGCCUUCAAUCAGGACAAGUCUUCAAGUGAAUGUCUCUUGCCAUCACCUAACUGCCUGCACCUGCUCUUCAGGGAGAUGGGGGUCAUUUAUCUAGAGCUUUCAGCUUCUCCAGAGGUAAAUCUGUAUCUGCUACCAGUGUUCUUGGAACCGAGUUGGUUUAGAGAUCUGAUUCCAUGCCACCAAUAGGUUUCCUUCAAUCUCUCUGUGUUCAGUAAAAUGUUUCAUGGCUUCCUUUGCUGGGCCUAGUACACCCAAGUGUAGAGCCUCUCUGGUUCAAUGCUAUGAGAAAAACUUCCUAUUCCUUAUGAUGGUAGAAUAAGAAUACAUGCUGGCUCUAUGAUUAGGGGUUUGAAUCUGAGGAUUAUAUAGGCUUUCAAAGAAUCGUCCUGUUUUCUACUCAUUGCCUCACCUACACUUAGUUCCUCCAAUUGCUGAAUUUUUCCAGGAUUCUGUGGGGUAAAUAGGCUUGCCUCUUUUCUGUGUUCCCCUCUGUAAUCAGUUAGGUUGUAGCUUUCGCUGUUAAGUCAACUACCUCUACUCUUUUUUUUUCAACUCCCCCAAAUUGCUGUAAACCUUUAAUUAGCUAUUGUCUCCAUUCCUGUUCGCUUGAUCCUUGUUGGAUUAUUCCUUUUUUAUUCCUUCUCCAGCAUUUUGUCCCUGUCAGCACAUCAGAGCUGAACAUAAGCCAUCAGUCAAAAUACAGUCUCACCUCUAUUCUCUGCCCAGCGGCUUACUUUGCCACAGCACAGAGAACCCCACCCCCUUUCUUUGUGGAACCGCCAUGGCGGCUGAGACCCUGAACACGUAUGCUGAAAACUGGAGGGCCUUCAAGGCCCUCGCCGCUGCUCAGCACAGCAGGGCUCAGGUCUGCAGGCGCUCCACACCACACCACUUCCACUUUGGCCAAACCAACCGCACCCCUGAAUUUCUCCACAAAUUUCCUGCCAGCAAGGUUCCGGCAUUUGAGGGUGAUAAUGGAUUCUGUGUGUUUGAGAGCAAUGCCACUGCGUACUGUGUGAGCAAUGGGGAGCUUCCGGGAGGUACUCCAGAGGCAGCAGUCCAGGUGGCGCAGUGGGUGAGCUUUGCUGAUAGCGAUAUAUUGCCCCCAGCCGGCACCUGGGUGUUCCCCACCUUGGCCACCAUGCACCAUAACAGGCCACUAAGACUGCAAAGGAAGAAGUGAGAUGAAUUCUGGGGCUGCUGGAUGCUCACUUGAAGACGAGCACUUUUCUGGUAGGUGAACGAGCGACACUGGCUGACAUCACAGUUGUCUGCACCCUGUUGUGGCUCUAUAAGCAGGUCCUAGAGCCUUCUUUCUGCCCGGCCUUUCCCAGUACCAACUGCUGGUUCCUCACCUGCAUUAACUAACCCCAGUUCAGGCUGUCCUGGGGGAAGUGAAACUGUGUGAGAAGAUGUCCCAGUUUGAUGCUAAAAAGUUUGCAAAGAUCCAACCUAAAAAGGAAAGAGAAGGGCUCACGGGAAGAGAAGCAGAAGCCCCAGGCUGCGCAGAAGGAGGAGAAAAAGGCGGCUGCGCCAGCUCCUGAGGAGGAGAUGAAUGAAUGUGAGCAGGCGCUGGCCGCUGAGCCUAAGGCCAAGGAAUCGUUCGCUCACCUGCCCAAGAGUACCUUAGAGUUGGAUGAAUUUAAGUGCAAUUACUCCAUUGAGGACACAUUCUCUGUGGCACUGCCAUAUUUCUGGGAGCACUUUCACUUUGAUAAGGACAGCUGGUCCCUGUGGUACUCAGAGUAUCACUUCCCUGAAGAACUCACUCACAACUUCAUGAGCUGCAGUCUCAUCACUGGAAUGUUCCAGCGACUAGACAAACAGGAAGAAUGCCUUCGUCAGUGUCAUCCUCUUUGGAACCAACAAUGGCAGCUCCAUUUCUGGAGUCUGGGUCUUCCGAGGCCAGGAGCUUGCCUUUCCGCUGAGUCCAGGUUGGCAGGUGCACUACGAGUCAUACACAUGGCAGAAACUGGAUCCUGGCAACGAGGAGACCCAGACGCUGGUUUGAGAGUACUUUUCCUGGGAGGGGGCCUUUCAGCAUGUGGGCAAAGCCUUCAAUCAGGGCAAGAUCUUCAAGUGAAUGUCUCUUGCCAUCACCUAGCUGCCUGCACCUGCCCUUCAGGGAGAUGGCAGUCAUUAAAGAAAACUCAACAUUGGGGAAAAAAAAGACAGUCUCGGCUGAGUGUGGUGACUCAUACCUGUAAUGCCAGCACUUUGGAAGGCCGAGGCAGGUGGAUCACCUGAGGUCAUGAGUUCAACACCAGCCUGACCA